GUUUGAAUGAUGACUUAAAUUGUCGGAUACCCCUUCACUCUUUGCAUGAGUGAAACCUGUAACAGUCUGACAAAC
This is a small nucleolar RNA of Lutra lutra (Eurasian river otter), 75 nucleotides long. RefSeq annotates it as small nucleolar RNA SNORD101. NCBI's taxonomy places the organism in Eukaryota, Metazoa, Chordata, Mammalia, Carnivora, Mustelidae. The record is from RefSeq and is a predicted model, not a curated record. The transcript has a single exon.